UCUCCUUUUAGCUCUGGAUUUUUUAUGUCUUCCGAUUGACAUAGCUCUGCACACUGCUGAGUUAGCUGAUUUGUAGCUAUAGACUUCAGUUUAUCUUCAUUAGUCUUUAGCUUUUCUAUCUCAUUUCCCAUACUGUCCACUUUCAUAGAAAGCGUAGUUAGGGUGUUAAGUAUCUUUUCUAGAGUAUCUUCCUCUACUAU
This 200-nucleotide long non-coding RNA is filed under the name Capsicum annuum. RNAcentral describes it as "long non-coding RNA (CANN_LNC020703)". Lineage: Eukaryota; Viridiplantae; Streptophyta; Magnoliopsida; Solanales; Solanaceae. The record is from RNAcentral.